UGCGAAUAUCCCCUCCUAUAUAGAGCCGAAAAUAAUUUGAACAUAAACAGGAAUUAUUGCCAGCCAACAACAGGACAAGCAGCAGGAGCAGCAGGAGCAGCAGAGGCAGACGGAGGCCAACAGCAACAUAAGAAAUAACAAGGCCAAGACACAGAGAAAACUUUAAAUUCCCUCAAAUAAGCCAAGAAAGGACAGAGAGCGAGAGAGAGAGAGAGAAAGCCGUGCAGCAGGCGGCGGGGAAAUAAAUAACAACAAAGUUGUCAUAAUAAAAAUACAUAAAUAAAAGCUGAGGAAUUUAUGCCACAAUAACAACGGGGCAGCCCAAGCGGCAGCGGCAGCAGCAGCAGCAGCAGCAACAGCAACAGCAACAGCGGAAGCAGCAGCACCACCGGAAGUAGUUCCAGAACAAGUUGGAAAUCUGGACAUAUUUGUGAUUCGGUGCGUUACUGCUGUUGCCUGAUUUCCAAGGCUCAUACGAUCGGAAUUUAUACUCUCUCUGCAUAAGCGCACCUUCAGAAUGCGGAUCUGACACACUGAGGCCGGCUUCGGCUCUGGCUCGUCUUUGGCUCCUCUUUGGCUCCUCUUUGGCUCCUCUUUGGCUCGUUGUGGUAAAAACUGACGGCAAGGCGCCGAAGGUGUGACCACCAGAAAGCCAGACAGACGACAGGCACAUAUUUCAGAGCCGGGCAGGGCAUCGCUUACUUGGCCAUUGGCCUAAUGAGAAAUUAUGGCCGCAUCUACUCGUACGAGAAGCUCGGGCACUCCGGACGUAUGGCCCGGCCCGGCCCGGCUCGGCCUAUACUUUGCGGCUGCUGGCCAAUGCCAAUCUGUCCCUGCCCAGCUCUGUCCUGCCCUGCCCUGUUGUCUGCCCUGCCAUGCCCUGCCCUGUAGUCUGCUCUAAUUAUGCUAACCACUUGCGCAAACUUGGACUUGGGGACAGCGGCCCGAAGAAGUUUCCGAGCUCUGACGGGGGCCACAUCAAAGCAAAAGAUUUAAUUAAAAAUUUGAUAACUUGGUCGCUCUGCGGUAUGGUACCUUUUUACUUUUUUUCUUUUGUUUUUUUGUUGAUGUUGUUUUUUACUUUUUUGGCGUAGCUGCUGGCCAUCAUCUGCAGAUUCCAUCAUCAGAAAUUUAAUCAAGACUAAAAGUUGGACCAGGCCAGAGCCAGAGCCAGUCCCCACUCGGAUAAUGAGAAUCUACUCAUACGUAAGUAAUUUGCAUAUAUCAAAUACGUAUAAUCGCCGGUGUUCUUAUAGCCUCCUCAGAGGUACGCCAAAGACAGUUCCAAAAUAAAUUGUUUACUGUUACGGAAAUGUAAUUUGCGGUUGAUUUUCUGUAUAUGGGAAUACUCCCAUGCAUGUACAAUGUAAAGAAUCCCUUGAA
This 1383-nucleotide small RNA is filed under the name Drosophila pseudoobscura pseudoobscura. RNAcentral's name for it is "GA33002". Lineage: Eukaryota; Metazoa; Arthropoda; Insecta; Diptera; Drosophilidae. The record is from RNAcentral.